Molecule: transfer RNA, 67 nt
Filed under: Diabolocatantops pinguis
Lineage: Eukaryota; Metazoa; Arthropoda; Insecta; Orthoptera; Acrididae
Description: tRNA-Phe
Rfam family: tRNA
About the family: Transfer RNA (tRNA) molecules are approximately 80 nucleotides in length.
Source: RNAcentral
ACCUAAAUAGCUUAUAAUUUAGAGCGUGACACUGAAGAUGUUAAGGAGAUAUUUUUAUUUUUAGGUA